GGAGAGAUGGCAGAGCGGUUUAAUGCAGCGGUCUUGAAAACCGUCGAAGGGGCGACCCUUCCGAGAGUUCGAAUCUCUCUCUCUCCGCCA
RNAcentral lists this transfer RNA (90 nucleotides) under Alphaproteobacteria bacterium. Its description in RNAcentral is "tRNA-Ser". It matches the Rfam family "tRNA". From Rfam's summary of the family: Transfer RNA (tRNA) molecules are approximately 80 nucleotides in length. Their secondary structure includes four short double-helical elements and three loops (D, anti-codon, and T loops). Further hydrogen bonds mediate the characteristic L-shaped molecular structure. tRNAs have two regions of fundamental functional importance: the anti-codon, which is responsible for specific mRNA codon recognition, and the 3' end, to which the tRNAs corresponding amino acid is attached (by aminoacyl-tRNA synthetases). tRNAs cope with the degeneracy of the genetic code in two manners: having more than one tRNA (with a specific anti-codon) for a particular amino acid; and 'wobble' base-pairing, i.e. permitting non-standard base-pairing at the 3rd anti-codon position. Lineage: Bacteria; Pseudomonadati; Pseudomonadota; Alphaproteobacteria. The record is from RNAcentral.